GUCCCACCGACCUGAGUUUAAAAGCUUGCAGGCUUCCCAGGUGGGCAGCUUCUGUGCAAAGGGCGGGGUGGACAAAAGUCGUUUUUCGAGAGAUAAGAACUACCUUGCAGACUGACCAGGUCAAGGUCCAUCCAGUGUAACACCGUCUCCAAAGGCCCAGACCCAAGAAAGACUGGGUGAAAUACCAUAACUUCUGCCCUUUGCCCCCAGCAUCUAGUAAGAAAGAAGUUGGAAGCUUUCAGUUUGGGAUGGAUCUCUCCCUCUGAUGCUCUUUAAAAAGCAUCUAAAUCAAAGGCCAUCACUAGUCUUGAAACGAUUCAUUUUGCGGGAUGAAUUCAAGCACCGUACCAGAAAGUUUGUGCAAUUAAAGCGGACACUUCCAGAUGCUUGCUGUUUUGGGACAGGAUUCAAUCACAUACUGGCAAAUUCAGGUUGCACAGUUAACACUGAUUUUGAGAUCUUGCACAAUAAACCCCCUUCCCCCCAAGUUCAGACUUUAUGAAAUAAGGGAAGUGCCCAGAAAAUGUAAUGGGAAGUGUGGGAUAAAAAUUGCUUGGUAUAGCAUUUAUGCAAACAAAUCAAUAAAUAGUCAAAUGUCAUUUAUCCUCCAUGCAUGUUGAAUGAAUGUUCAAUAAACAGGGCAUCUGAAAGUGAACACUAGCAUAACAAAACUGCUUUUUUCUUUAAAGGAACUUUAAAGAAAGUGCAGUUAGGAAAGUGACAGGAAAAUGCACUGAAAAGCGUAGGAUGAAUGAAUGAUUAACAGGAAGACAUGUACAUAUGUUGCUGGACUACAGCUCUCAGCAACCCUGACCACUGGCCACACUGGCUGAGGCUGAUUAAUUCGGAAUCUAACAACAUUUGGAGCACCAGAGCAUCUUGACGCCCUGUCAGUAUUCCCACAUGGAAUAAACUGCUACAAGCCUACUGAAGAACACCCUGCAUGGGAAACUCUCAUAGCUCAAGAAAAGCAUAUGUGCCCACCCUCUGUACUUUCCAGAAACAACUGAAGACAAGCUUCAGUUAAGUGAAGCUGGGUGAAAAUGUCCCUGCCUUAGUUGUUCAUUUCGUAUCAUUUUAAAACCUAUUUUCAGUUUGGCUUUUGUACUGUAUAAACAGCUCUCUUAGCUGUUUUGAUUACACUGCUGUAAAUCGCCUUGAGACAUACAGUAUAUGUAAAAGGCAGUUUUCAGUUUCUUCAUCAUCUACAGAUGAUAGGAAAGAAAACUUAUGAAAGACAAUCAUCACCACUAUGGCAUCCAGGCUAGGGAAGGGUCUGUAGCUCUGUGUCAAUACAGAAAGUACCAAGUUCAGUCCCAGGAAACACCCCUGGGCCCCCUCCGAAACCCUGGAGAGAUACUGCCCAUAGCAAUACUGAGCUAAAGCCUUUGCAUGUGAUUUACACGUAAGCAAAGUGAUGUGUAAGAUCCACAGCAGCAAAGCUUGCACAGUUGCCUUGUAUAGCAACGGAAGGGAGGAAAACAAUAUAUAGUUUUUACCUUUACCUGUCCUAAAUCCAAACAGCGCUGUCAAUGUGCAAGAACCAACUAAUUGCUUCCAUAACAAGUUAUUGAUCAAACUGUUUACUUGCUGAGAGUGAUGCAGUAACACGUAGACAAAACAGGGAGGGGAAAGAUGACUCCAAAGGCUAUGUACAGCAAAAGAUUCCUUCCUUUUCACACCCCACACAUCUAGUGAUUCUGUCUCAUUGUUCUAAAACUGCAUGGUUAUUUUUUAACUGUGUAUGUAAGUUGCCUAGAGAUGUAACAAAUGAUUGAUAAUAAAAUUAUUACUACUGAUAACAACGAUAAAUGGCAAAGGCUGCUCUUUUCUGAAAGACUUCAUAUAUUUUGCGUAAUGGAGAUGAAAGUGCACAUAAGUUUGCAUUUUAAAAGUGAUUUCUUAAUUAUUUCAUUAUUUCUAAAAGUAGCA
Molecule: non-coding RNA, 1932 nt
Organism: Zootoca vivipara (common lizard)
Lineage: Eukaryota; Metazoa; Chordata; Lepidosauria; Squamata; Lacertidae
Source: RefSeq, a predicted model, not a curated record